Molecule: long non-coding RNA, 565 nt
Filed under: Brassica napus (rape)
Lineage: Eukaryota; Viridiplantae; Streptophyta; Magnoliopsida; Brassicales; Brassicaceae
Description: long non-coding RNA (BNAP_LNC011556)
Source: RNAcentral
AUCAUCUCUGUAAACUCCAUACUCAUCCUUCUCUUCCCAGUAGAAUCAUCGGGUAUCGUAGAAAUCAAAGGCUCUUUUGCCAAAUUCUGGCUGUUUGUCAACCGAUGUUGGGACGUCAAUGUGGAUCGGUGGUUCAGUUUAAUGGCGAGAUCUUUGUAUGAAGCCUUUGUUUAUGCCACCAGUUGUGUCAUAGGACUCCUUUGUAGCCUUCUGUUCUGGAUUGUUGCGUUGAUGCAUGAACAGAUUGUCUGCUCCAUUGGCUGUCUGAAGGAUAUCUGCGACAUCUUCUCGAGAUACAUAACGUGUGCGUCCGUAUAUUGCUUUUGCGUAGCCAUCUGGGUACCUGAAAAUACCAAAUUCGUCUGGAGUUAGAUACUAGUUAUCGAAUUUAUCUUUUACGCUUAUAGUGGUUUUCAGUAUUGGACGGUUGUCGAUCGACGUUGUAUUGUUGAUGCCGAUCGAUUGUGGAUGACGGGUGUCGAUCGAUGGACGGAUUGCCCUGUCGAUCGGAUGGCUGAAACGAGUUCUUUCCCAAGCAGCUUCUGCUCGAAUCUGAUAUGUUUCA